AAUGAACGCUGGCGGCAUGCCUAACACAUGCAAGUCGAACGAGACCUUCGGGUCUAGUGGCGCACGGGUGCGUAACGCGUGGGAACCUGCCCUUAGGUUCGGAAUAACUCUCCGAAAGGGGUGCUAAUACCGGAUAAUGUCUUCUGCCCAAAGAUUUAUCGCCUUUGGAUGUGCCCGCGUUGGAUUAGCUAGUUGGUUGGGUAAAAGCCUACCAAGGCGACGAUUCAUAGCUGGUCUGAGAGGAUGAUCAGCCACACUGGGACUGAGACGCGGCCCAGACUCCUCCGGGAGGCAGCAGUGGGGAAUAUUGGACAGUGGGCGGAAGCCUGAUGGAGCACUGCCGCGUGAGUGAUGAAGGCCUUAGAGUUGUAAAGCUCUAUUACCCAGGAUGAUAAUGACGGUACCGGGAGAGUAAGCUCCGGCUAACUCCGUG
Molecule: ribosomal RNA, 433 nt
Filed under: uncultured bacterium
Lineage: Bacteria
Description: partial 16S ribosomal RNA
Rfam family: Bacterial small subunit ribosomal RNA
Source: RNAcentral